ACGCUGGCGGCAGGCCUAACACAUGCAAGUCGAGCGGUAGAGAGAAGCUUGCUUCUCUUGAGAGCGGCGGACGGGUGAGUAAUGCCUAGGAAUCUGCCUGGUAGUGGGGGAUAACGUUCGGAAACGGACGCUAAUACCGCAUACGUCCUACGGGAGAAAGCAGGGGACCUUCGGGCCUUGCGCUAUCAGAUGAGCCUAGGUCGGAUUAGCUAGUUGGUGGGGUAAUGGCUCACCAAGGCGACGAUCCGUAACUGGUCUGAGAGGAUGAUCAGUCACACUGGAACUGAGACACGGUCCAGACUCCUACGGGAGGCAGCAGUGGGGAAUAUUGGACAAUGGGCGAAAGCCUGAUCCAGCCAUGCCGCGUGUGUGAAGAAGGUCUUCGGAUUGUAAAGCACUUUAAGUUGGGAGGAAGGGCAGUUGCCUAAUACGUAACUGUUUUGACGUUACCGACAGAAUAAGCACCGGCUAACUCUGCGCCAGCAGCCGCGGUAAUACAGAGGGUGCAAGCGUUAAUCGGAAUUACUGGGCGUAAAGCGCGCGUAGGUGGUUCGUUAAGUUGGAUGUGAAAUCCCCGGGCUCAACCUGGGAACUGCAUUCAAAACUGACUGACUAGAGUAUGGUAGAGGGUGGUGGAAUUUCCUGUGUAGCGGUGAAAUGCGUAGAUAUAGGAAGGAACACCAGUGGCGAAGGCGACCACCUGGACUGAUACUGACACUGAGGUGCGAAAGCGUGGGGAGCAAAC
This 745-nucleotide ribosomal RNA is filed under the name uncultured bacterium. Its description in RNAcentral is "bacterial SSU rRNA". It matches the Rfam family "Bacterial small subunit ribosomal RNA", at positions 33 to 773 of the family's 1533-position model. The record is from RNAcentral.